Molecule: long non-coding RNA, 539 nt
Filed under: Homo sapiens (human)
Lineage: Eukaryota; Metazoa; Chordata; Mammalia; Primates; Hominidae
Description: HSALNT0224935
Source: RNAcentral
CUGCCAUGUAAAUAAGAUGUGCCUUUGCUUCUCCUUUGCCUUCUGCCAUGAUUGUGAGGCCUCCCCACCCGUGUGGAACUUUGGAGUUUUGUGACAAGUUCUGACAAUGGCCUGAGUAAAAAUGAUAUCUGUACCUUCUGAGACAAAAUAUUUUGUGCUAAAGCAAAAUCCUCCAGAACUCCCUUCCUCUUCAGGGGCAACAGAUCUUGCUAGCAGGACCUCUUCAAGGAGAACUACAAACCACUGCUCAGUGAAAUAAAAGAGGAUACAAACAAAUGGAAGAACAUUCCAUGCUCAUGGGUAGGAAGAAUCAAUAUCAUGAAAUUGGCCAUACUGCCCAAGGUAAUUUAUAGAUUCAAUGCCACCCCCAGCAAGCUGCCAAUGACUUUCUUCACAGAAUUGGAAAAAACUACUUUAAAGUUCAUAUGGAAUCAAAAAACAGCCUGCAUUGCCAAGUCAAUCCUAAGCCAAAAGAACAAAGCUGGAGGCAUCACUCUACCUGAUUUCAAACUCUACUACAAGGCUACAGUAACCAAAAC